Molecule: ribosomal RNA, 1009 nt
Filed under: Pseudoalteromonas sp.
Lineage: Bacteria; Pseudomonadati; Pseudomonadota; Gammaproteobacteria; Alteromonadales; Pseudoalteromonadaceae
Description: bacterial SSU rRNA
Rfam family: Bacterial small subunit ribosomal RNA
Source: RNAcentral
CACAUGCAAGUCGAGCGGUAACAGAGAGUAGCUUGCUACUUUGCUGACGAGCGGCGGACGGGUGAGUAAUGCUUGGGAACAUGCCUUGAGGUGGGGGACAACAGUUGGAAACGACUGCUAAUACCGCAUAAUGUCUACGGACCAAAGAGGGCUUCGGCUCUCGCCUUUAGAUUGGCCCAAGUGGGAUUAGCUAGUUGGUGAGGUAAUGGCUCACCAAGGCGACGAUCCCUAGCUGGUUUGAGAGGAUGAUCAGCCACACUGGGACUGAGACACGGCCCAGACUCCUACGGGAGGCAGCAGUGGGGAAUAUUGCACAAUGGGCGCAAGCCUGAUGCAGCCAUGCCGCGUGUGUGAAGAAGGCCUUCGGGUUGUAAAGCACUUUCAGUCAGGAGGAAAGGUUAGUAGUUAAUACCUGCUAGCUGUGACGUUACUGACAGAAGAAGCACCGGCUAACUCCGUGCCAGCAGCCGCGGUAAUACGGAGGGUGCGAGCGUUAAUCGGAAUUACUGGGCGUAAAGCGUACGCAGGCGGUUUGUUAAGCGAGAUGUGAAAGCCCCGGGCUCAACCUGGGAACUGCAUUUCGAACUGGCAAACUAGAGUGUGAUAGAGGGUGGUAGAAUUUCAGGUGUAGCGGUGAAAUGCGUAGAGAUCUGAAGGAAUACCGAUGGCGAAGGCAGCCACCUGGGUCAACACUGACGCUCAUGUACGAAAGCGUGGGGAGCAAACGGGAUUAGAUACCCCGGUAGUCCACGCCGUAAACGAUGUCUACUAGAAGCUCGGAGCCUCGGUUCUGUUUUUCAAAGCUAACGCAUUAAGUAGACCGCCUGGGGAGUACGGCCGCAAGGUUAAAACUCAAAUGAAUUGACGGGGGCCCGCACAAGCGGUGGAGCAUGUGGUUUAAUUCGAUGCAACGCGAAGAACCUUACCUACACUUGACAUACAGAGAACUUACCAGAGAUGGUUUGGUGCCUUCGGGAACUCUGAUACAGGUGCUGCAUGGCUGUCGUCA